CUUUUUGACUCUGCUUGUGGAGGUUUCAGCUUUUGGCAGAUGAACAAUGGGAAGACGUGGCAUGAGAUUUCAUAUGAAAGCCUUGUCUGCUUACCACGCCACAAGAAGUGGUUGCUCAUGUUGGGGAGAAUUCAAAUUGCUUGUGAAAAAUAUGAUCCAGUGGCUGUGUCAUGGUGGAAUGAUCCAUAGAGGACCUUCCAAAGCCUCUGAGAUGACACGAGGUGGAUCAUGUGAUGGAUAAAUGCCUACACUUCUGCACCAGCUCAUCUUAUUUCCCCAUGCUGAUUUUGUGACUGGACAGAGGCAAUGGUGUGAGAGCAUGUUGUGGUAAGUGCAUCUUCUGAUGUGACUUCUGCACGGGACACUUCACAAAGAGGUCCAACCUUUUGUAAUACAUAGGGCCUGGUCUUCUCUGCCUUCACAUGUGGUGUUUCAGUGAAGAGACUGGGACACUGCAUGGCAGCUGCAGGGACUCUGCAGGAGACUCUAGGCUGGUGUGAACCCUUGAGUAUGUGUCACACUUCUGCGUGACAGCUUGGGAAACAUGGUAGUGCCCACAUUUGUUAUUAAAAUUAAGCAAAUGCAAAGAAAUGUUUUGUUUGGAUUUUGGAACUCCAGAUACAAUUUUCUCUUGUUACUUAGCUUCUCACAUUAUAAGCCUUUUCUAAACAGAAUAUUUCUGUGUAGCAAAACCAGUAAAAUAGUAAUUUAAAAAAAGAGGCUAAGCUUUUAUCUGUCCUGCUAAAUUUGAUAUUAAAUAUGAAUGGUCCUGUAAAGCACAUCUCUUCAUCUUUGUUUCUACAAAAGAGCAGCAUAUGGUCUUUCACUUAUUCCUGCUGUCAAUAGCAGAGUGUGUUCAGGAGUUAAGAGUUUAUCUUUGCAGGAAGCAUCAAAAGUGGGCUACUCCCCUGGGAAGGCAAGCCAGGUGCCAGGGUGACAGCAAAGGCACAGUCCCACAGUGCUCAAGCAAGGAGAGCAAGUCCGGUCAAGUGAUAGUAAACAGGGGCUAGUCACAGCUUAGACAAGUCCCUCAUGAUAAGGCAGGUCUGUGGUCAAGUCAGAAGGUUAGGAACAGGGCCAGGAACCAGCAGCCUAAUCACUUCUCAGACAGCUGAGCUGUCAGAGGUGGCUGCCAGCAGAGGCAGCUGACUUCUGAGGCCAGGACAGAGGCUGGGACUGUGGUUGUAUGCAGAGGCCAGGCUCAACUGCCCUGUAGGACAAUAAGAGCACAUCUUCUGUAGGAUACUGUCAAAUGGAGAAUGCAUGCCAAGAGGAUCGCUAUGUAGCUGGAGCCCAGUGACAAUUAGGCUUCGAACAAUUGUGUGCCACUAACCUGAAGUGAUGUGUUUUGCAGGAUAAACUGGAGGUGGUAACAAGAUUACCAUCUAUAAUUUAAAGAUAAAAAACCUCCCACAGCUGAAAAGAAGACAGUCUGCAUGAAACAAAUGCUUUGCAUAAGGACAGAGCAUAUUUCUGUUCCCCUCUGAAGAGGUUUCUGAGCAUUAUUAUCCUAUUGUGAUGCCAUGCUACAAUUAAUCACCCCUUUUAGUGGUGCUGUAAUAAACUCAGAGGUUUGGAUUCACAGCUUGUGUAAAUCAGUAUGGGUCCAUUCAUUUCAGUGGAACUGUACCAGGGGAAUAUCUGGCCUGAGACAUCAAGUGAAGCUUGUAGAGAGAUGUUUAAUAAAGCAA
Long non-coding RNA from Pogoniulus pusillus (Red-fronted tinkerbird), 1691 nucleotides. RefSeq lists it as uncharacterized. NCBI's taxonomy places the organism in Eukaryota, Metazoa, Chordata, Aves, Piciformes, Lybiidae. The transcript has 3 exons. The record is from RefSeq and is a predicted model, not a curated record.